Molecule: ribosomal RNA, 768 nt
Filed under: uncultured Lactarius
Lineage: Eukaryota; Fungi; Basidiomycota; Agaricomycetes; Russulales; Russulaceae
Description: eukaryotic LSU rRNA
Rfam family: 5.8S ribosomal RNA (bases 299-452)
Source: RNAcentral
CUUGGUCAUUUAGAGGAAGUAAAAGUCGUAACAAGGUUUCCGUAGGUGAACCUGCGGAAGGAUCAUUAUCGUACAAAAUGUGUGAGGCAUGCAAGGGCUGUCGCUGACUUUUUAAUCACAAAAAGUCGUGCACGCCGGAGCGUGUCCUCUCGCAUAAAAUCCAUCUCACCCUUUUGUGCACCACCGCGUGGGCACCCUUUGGGAUCGAACCGAUCCAGGAGGGCGCUUGCGUUUUCACACAAACCCCCUUAUAAAAGUGUAGAAUGACCCCAUUUUUGCGAUAACACGCAAUCAAUACAACUUUCAACAACGGAUCUCUUGGCUCUCGCAUCGAUGAAGAACGCAGCGAAAUGCGAUACGUAAUGUGAAUUGCAGAAUUCAGUGAAUCAUCGAAUCUUUGAACGCACCUUGCGCCCCUUGGUAUUCCGAGGGGCACACCCGUUUGAGUGUCGUGAAAAUCUCAACCUCCUCGGUUUCUUCUGGACGCCGAAGGAGGCUUGGACUUUGGAGGCCUUUGCUGGCGUCUCUCGCCAGCUCCUCUCGAAUGAAUUAGCGGGGUCCUCUUUGCCGAUCCUCGACGUGUGAUAAGAUGUUUCCAUGUCUUGGUUUCUGGCUCUGUCGCCUUUGGGACCCGCUUCUAACCGUCUCAAGUCGAGACAACGUUUGAGCGUGUCUCCCUUCUCGGGAAACACCCUCGAGCCCACGAACCCUUGACCUCAAAUCGGGUGAGACUACCCGCUGAACUUAAGCAUAUCAAUAAGCGGAGGA